UACACUCCUGCGGGAGGCAGCAGUGGGGAAUAUUGGACAAUGGGCGCAAGCCUGAUCCAGCCAUGCCGCGUGAGUGAUGAAGGCCCUAGGGUUGUAAAGCUCUUUCACCGGUGAAGAUAAUGACGGUAACCGGAGAAGAAGCCCCGGCUAACUUCGUGCCAGCAGCCGCGGUAAUACGAAGGGGGCUAGCGUUGUUCGGAUUUACUGGGCGUAAAGCGCACGUAGGCGGACUAUUAAGUCAGGGGUGAAAUCCCGGGGCUCAACCCCGGAACUGCCUUUGAUACUGGUAGUCUUGAGUUCGGGAGAGGUGAGUGGAAUUCCGAGUGUAGAGGUGAAAUUCGUAGAUAUUCGGAGGAACACCAGUGGCGAAGGCGGCUCACUGGCUCGAUACUGACGCUGAGGUGCGAAAGCGUGGGGAGCAAACAGGAUUAGAUACCCUAGUAGUCCCAUG
Molecule: ribosomal RNA, 451 nt
Filed under: uncultured organism
Description: partial 16S ribosomal RNA
Rfam family: Bacterial small subunit ribosomal RNA
Source: RNAcentral